Molecule: RNA transcript, 2307 nt
Organism: Panicum virgatum (switchgrass)
Lineage: Eukaryota; Viridiplantae; Streptophyta; Magnoliopsida; Poales; Poaceae
Gene name: sucrose transport protein SUT2-like
Exons: 6
Source: RefSeq, a predicted model, not a curated record
GUACCGUGUGAUUAAAAAAAAAUGAAUCUGAGACUGGAGAGGAUGCCUUCCUUCUUCCUUGGGGGUAUUAUUUAUCAUCAAAUCAAUUACCUGCUCUGCUCGGCUCCACUGCUCCCUGCUGCUCCUCCGUCCCCUCCCAUACCCAAUAGUCCCAUCCCUGAGACCCAGGCCAGACCAGGCAUGCCGCGCACGGCGGCGGCUGCGGCGCCCCCCGCGCGGAAGGUGCCCCUCCGCAAGCUGCUGCGCGCGGCGUCGGUGGCCUGCGGGGUGCAGUUCGGCUGGGCGCUGCAGCUGUCGCUGCUCACCCCCUACGUGCAGGAGCUCGGCAUCCCGCACGCCUUCGCCAGCCUCGUCUGGCUCUGCGGCCCGCUCUCCGGCCUCCUCGUCCAGCCCCUCGUCGGCCACCUCUCCGACCGCAUCGCCCCGGCCGCCUCCCCGCUCGGCCGCCGCAGGCCCUUCAUCGCCGCCGGCGCCGCCUCCAUCGCCGCCGCCGUCCUCACCGUCGGAUUCUCCGCCGACCUCGGCCGCAUCUUCGGCGACGACAUCACCCCGGGGAGGACGCGCCUCGGAGCCAUCUGCGUCUACCUCGUCGGAUUCUGGCUGCUCGAUGUCGGCAACAACGCCACGCAGGGGCCCUGCAGGGCCUUCCUAGCGGACCUCACCGAGAACGACCCAAGGAGGACUCGGAUUGCUAAUGCAUACUUUUCACUCUUCAUGGCCCUGGGAAACAUACUUGGAUAUGCCACCGGAGCAUACAGUGGCUGGUAUAGGAUAUUUCCUUUCACUGUUACACCAUCCUGCAGCAUGAGUUGUGCCAACCUCAAGUCUGCCUUUCUUCUUGACAUUAUUGUUCUGGUGAUUACGACAUACAUUACUGUAGCAUCAGUGCAAGAGCCGCAAACUUUUGGAGGUGAUGAAGCAGAAUACCCAGGUACCGAACAGGAAGCUUUCCUCUGGGAGCUUUUUGGGUCAUUCAGAUACUUCACGCUACCAGUUUGGAUGGUCUUAAUUGUCACUGCCCUUACAUGGAUUGGAUGGUUUCCUUUUAUCCUCUUUGAUACUGAUUGGAUGGGCCGAGAGAUCUACCGAGGAAGCCCAGACAACCCAGGAGAGACUCAAAGAUACCAUGAUGGUGUGAGAAUGGGUUCUUUUGGUCUAAUGCUGAACUCUGUCCUUCUUGGAUUCACCUCUGUUGUACUAGAAAAGUUAUGUAGGAAGUGGGGAGCUGGACUAGUAUGGGGUGUCUCCAAUAUACUGAUGGCGUUAUGCUUUGUGGCUAUGCUUGUUAUUACAUAUGUCGCAAAGAACACGGAUUAUCCUCCCAAUGGAGUACCUCCAACUGGCAUUGUCAUUGCUUCUCUUGUGGUUUUUACAAUUUUAGGAGCACCCCUGGCGAUUACAUACAGUAUACCAUAUGCAAUGGCUGCUAGUCGUGUUGAAAAUCUGGGCCUUGGCCAAGGUCUAGCAAUGGGCAUUCUAAAUUUAGCUAUCGUCAUACCACAGUGUAAAAUUACAGAUAGGCCAGAUUUGGUCUUCAGUUAAUUGUAACACAUGGCAACAUGAGACAAAGAACAAGAAGCCCACGAUGACGAAUCACUGUAUCGUUGAAUAAUAUAGAAGCGGUGGUGUUGCAGUGGCUCUAUCAACACAAGUGGAUUCCCUAUUGGAGAAACUUUCAUGAAUAGUUUGCAUUUGGAUCAUAAUGCAACAAGCUCCACCUAGAGUGAAAUUCCCUUAUGUAGUAGAAAUCAACCAUGUGCCACCAAAGUCAGGAAUAAUCAAUGCGUGAGAUGAUCUUAGUCUUUUCCAAAAGAUCCACAUGAAGCGAACGGAGAAAACAAUUGGCAGGUUAUUGUGUCACUUGGUAGUGGGCCAUGGGAUCAACUGUUCGGCGGUGGCAAUGCGCCGGCUUUUGCGGUGGCAGCCGGUGCAUCGUUCAUCGGUGGGCUGGUGGCUAUUCUGGGGCUUCCACGAGCUCGCAUUGCAUCAUCGAGGAGGAGAGGCGGGACACACCGAUAAGGUGCAUAGUACGUACAUAAUGUGUAUGAUGUGGAAGUGUUGCAACUUGCGACAAUUCUUUGCGGGGAAAUUUAUGGGGAGGCGGGUUUUGGAGAAGAGCAGGAAGCUCGUGAAUGAUGUCCUUUUCCUUUCCUUUUUGGCGGUUUGCCCUGUUGAGCUAUUUUUGGCUUUGUCUCCGAUCCAUCAUUUGUGGUUUGGAAUGUAUGUAUGUGUAUGUAUGUACGUCGGUCAUGUGUAGGGAGGUUAAUAAUUAAUAAAUAAAAGUUACAGGAGUUACGUUUACUGGCA